AGUGCCACUCAGAUGAAGUAGAGUCCGGGCCAUCCCGGCUCACCAGUCAUCUCCCGAGCUUGCAAAACAUGUUCACGUUAUCUGACGAAGAAAACUUCUCCAGCAGUGGCCCUCCGCCUUUAGCUUGCAUUAGAAUCUCGCGAAGGACUUGUUAAAAGGGUAUUGAAGAACAUCACCAGCAAAAUUGCCAAUUCAGUAAUUCUAACUCCGCGCUGAAAAUGUAUGUUUCUAACAAGGGAGAUCAUCCAUUAAUGCAAAGGACCCUUCUGAAAAAAAGGAAAUAGGCUCUUUUUCUAGGAGGAUUUUGAUAGGAGAAAGUUGUGAAAAUGAAGGGAAACCUCACCAAAAUGAAGUUGGGAGGCCAGAAGAGGGAGCUCUCAUGCAGAUCCAAACCACCUGGAGCCCUCAACCACCAGACUAAGUGGAGCCUAAGGAUUGAUGAUACUGACCCUUGUGACUUCACUUAAUUAGGUGCCUGGAUCUCAUCAACCCAGAAUAUCCUUUGCCUCAUUUUAAUGCUAAAAUCUCCGCCCCAAGGGCAGGGCUUGUUUUGAGCAUGCAAAGUCUAUUCCAGCCUGUUAUCACACUGUUCAUCUAGAACAUCUCUGCAGGGAAGAUCAUACUUGCCCAUUUGAGAAUAUGCAUGUGCCCUUAGCUUAACACUGCCCUGAACUUGUUCAGAACAGUGCUUUGAGAACUCUCUCCCUGUCUCCUUACUUGUCACAAGUUAUAAAUUCUUCUGCUUUGUUGGAAAGUACUUGACACUUCAGUUGCUAUGCAGUCCAAGCAGUGGACCUAUUUGUUACGUUUAUUGAGGAAGGAACGCACAAGGUGGAGUCGGUAAAGCAAGAGAAAUAUAUUAAGGCAUCUGGAACAAAUGGGUUGAGCUCAAGAUGAUAUCAGCCCAGACUGUGAAGAGGAGUUCUGCUUAUAAGGGGCUGGUGGUGGGAAAAAUGUGACAGAAACAAUGUACCAAGGAGGGACGUAGCAAAGGAGUAAACGUCUCCUCUCUGUGUCUCAUGUCCAAAUAUGUGUUGCAGCCACCCUGCCAAGGGCAAGGAGUGACGCAAGCAGGCAGAGUAGUUAAGCCUUAGUAAUGCAUGCUUCACAAGCGACCUUCCAUAUGUCCUUGUCUGCGUUGCUCAACCGGAACAACCACAUCAGCCGUCCCCUUAGAACCUAUCGCUGUUGAGCCAGACAACAGCAUGAAAGCCCUCCAAAGGAAAAAUAAUAGGAGUUCCCACUGUGGCACAGUGGGUUAAUGAUCAGGCUCUUCUCUGGCAUUGCAGGUUCAUUCCCUGGCCCUGGUGCAAUGGGUUAAAGAUCCAAUUCCAGAGUUCCUGUUGUGGUGCAGCGGAAAUGAAUCCAACUAGUAUCCAUGAGGAUGAGGGUUUGAUCCCUG
RNAcentral lists this long non-coding RNA (1402 nucleotides) under Sus scrofa (pig). Its description in RNAcentral is "lncRNA (ENSSSCG00050035120.1)". The record is from RNAcentral. Lineage: Eukaryota; Metazoa; Chordata; Mammalia; Artiodactyla; Suidae.